GAUGAACGCUGGCUACAGGCUUAACACAUGCAAGUCGAAGGGCAGCAUGCCGGUUGCUUGCAACCGGUGAUGGCGACCGGCGCACGGGUGAGUAACGCGUAUCCAACCUUCCCGCGACCAAGGGAUAACCUGCCGAAAGGCAGACUAAUACCUUAUGUCCUCCUUUGAAGGCAUCUGACGAGGAGCAAAGAUCCGUCGGUCACGGAUGGGGAUGCGUCCGAUUAGCUUGUUGGCGGGGCAACGGCCCACCAAGGCUUCGAUCGGUAGGGGUUCUGAGAGGAAGGCCCCCCACACUGGAACUGAGACACGGUCCAGACUCCUACGGGAGGCAGCAGUGAGGAAUAUUGGUCAAUGGGCGGAAGCCUGAACCAGCCAAGUAGCGUGCAGGACGACGGCCCUACGGGUUGUAAACUGCUUUUAUGCGGGGAUAAAGUUGCCCACGCGUGGGUUUUUGCAGGUACCGCAUGAAUAAGGACCGGCUAAUUCCGUGCCAGCAGCCGCGGUAAUACGGAAGGUCCGGGCGUUAUCCGGAUUUAUUGGGUUUAAAGGGAGCGCAGGCCGCCGUGCAAGCGUGCCGUGAAAAGCAGCGGCCCAACCGCUGCCCUGCGGCGCGAACUGCUUGGCUUGAGUGCGCCGGAAGCGGGCGGAAUUCGUGGUGUAGCGGUGAAAUGCUUAGAUAUCACGAAGAACCCCGAUUGCGAAGGCAGCCCGCUGUGGCGCCACUGACGCUGAGGCUCGAAGGUGCGGGUAUCGAACAGG
Molecule: ribosomal RNA, 759 nt
Filed under: uncultured Prevotella sp.
Lineage: Bacteria; Pseudomonadati; Bacteroidota; Bacteroidia; Bacteroidales; Prevotellaceae
Description: bacterial SSU rRNA
Rfam family: Bacterial small subunit ribosomal RNA
Source: RNAcentral